RNAcentral lists this ribosomal RNA (453 nucleotides) under uncultured Prevotella sp. Its description in RNAcentral is "partial 16S ribosomal RNA". It matches the Rfam family "Bacterial small subunit ribosomal RNA", at positions 341 to 792 of the family's 1533-position model. The record is from RNAcentral. Lineage: Bacteria; Pseudomonadati; Bacteroidota; Bacteroidia; Bacteroidales; Prevotellaceae.
ACGGAAGGCAGCAGUGAGGAAUAUUGGUCAAUGGGCGGAAGCCUGAACCAGCCAUCUCGCGUGCAGGACUACGGCCCUACGGGUCUUAAACUGCUUUUAUGGGGGGAUAAAGUCGGGCAUUCGUGUCCGUUUGCAGGUACCCCAUGAAUAAGGAUCGGCUAACUCCGUGCCAGCAGCCGCGGUAAUACGGAGGAUCCGAGCGUUAUCCGGAUUUAUUGGGUUUAAAGGGUGCGCAGGCGGUCUUUUAAGUCAGUGGUUAAAUCGUGGAGCUCAACUCCAUCCCGCCAUUGAUACUGGAGGACUUGAUUGCGGUCGAGGUUGGCGGAAUUCGCCGUGUAGCGGUGAAAUGCAUAGAUAUGGCGAAGAACUCCGAUUGCGUAGGCAGCUGACCAGGCCGUAAAUGACGCUCAUGCACGAAAGUGCGGGGAUCGAACAGGAUUAGAUACCCUGGUA